CGGAGCAUGCGGAUUAAUUCGAUGCAACGCGAAGAACCUUACCAGGGCUUGACAUCCCGGGAACCUGCCUGAAAGGUGGGGUGCCCGCAAGGGAGCCCGGAGACAGGUGGUGCAUGGCUGUCGUCAGCUCGUGUCGUGAGAUGUUUGGAUUAAGUUCCGCAACGAGCGCAACCCUCGUUGCCUGUCGCCAGCACGUGAUGGUGGGCACUCAGGCGAGACUGCCGCAGCAAUGUGGAGGAAGGUGGGGAUGACGUCAAGUCAGCAUGCCCCGUACGCCCUGGGCUACACACAUACUACAAUGCGAGGAGCAAACAGUUGCGAACCCGCGAGGGGGAGCUAAUCUGAGAAGGCCUCGCUCAGUGCAGAUUGCAGGCUGCAACUCGCCUGCAUGAAGGCGGAAUCGCUAGUAACCGUCGGUCAGCAUUACGACGGUGAAUACGUUCCCGGGCCUU
This 452-nucleotide ribosomal RNA is filed under the name uncultured Rhodanobacter sp. RNAcentral describes it as "bacterial SSU rRNA". It matches the Rfam family "Bacterial small subunit ribosomal RNA", at positions 933 to 1382 of the family's 1533-position model. The record is from RNAcentral. Lineage: Bacteria; Pseudomonadati; Pseudomonadota; Gammaproteobacteria; Lysobacterales; Rhodanobacteraceae.